CAUGGGGUGUUGAGCUUGGAUCAGAUUGGCAAAUGCAUAAUAAUCUGAUUCCCAAUGUGCUUCAUUGUUGCCUCCGAGCACUCGACCACCCCCGUCCCCUCAGCCAUUAGGAAACGAAAGAAAGGCUCUCUCUGUUUCUGUCUCUCUGCUGCACCGAUGAUGAAACCAUGGAUGCCCUGCUUUUGUUCGCAGAAUUCGUGAGUGACGUCAAAGGAAAAUGUCUCCUAAACUUACGAUGGAGCAGCUAGAGAGAUCAGAGUUAUUUGUCACAUAUAUACAUGUGUGUAUAUAUAUAUAUAUAUAUAUAUACAUUAUUGUACUAUCUAUGUAUUAAGAUCACUCAAGGAGACAAGUGGCUGUCCUUCAUUGCAUGCACUUCUCUUUGUUUUCAUUAAAAAACUUCAUGUUUUGUGGAGUUCACAACUCUUUUUAUA
This 434-nucleotide long non-coding RNA is filed under the name Physcomitrium patens. RNAcentral's name for it is "long non-coding RNA (PPAT_LNC007689)". The record is from RNAcentral. Lineage: Eukaryota; Viridiplantae; Streptophyta; Bryopsida; Funariales; Funariaceae.